UCGCUCUGUCACCCAGGCUGGACUGCAGUGGCGCGAUCUUGGCUCACUGCAACCUCCGCCUCCUGGAUUCAAGCGAUUCUUCUGCCUCAGCCUCCCGAGUAGCUAGGAUUACAGGCAUGUGUCACCACGCCCGGCUAAUUUUGUAUUUUUAGUAGAGACGGGGUUUCUCCGUGUUGGUCAGGCUGGUCUCGAACUCCUGACCUCAGGUGAUCUGCCCGCCUCGGCCUCCCAAAGUGCUGAGAUUACAGACGUGAGCCACCGUGCCUGGCGGAAUUUUCAUAUUUUAAGUCCCCCACCCUUGGACAUUUAGAUUUUUUCCAUCUUUCUGUAUUUGCAGAUAUGCUUCUACGUACACCUUUAUUCAUUUGCUUGAACAUUUCCCUGAGAAAAACUAGAAAUGGAAUUGCCAGAUUACUUUGUGUACAUGUUUCCAAACUGUCCUCCAGAAAGAAUGUAAUGCUUUGAACUUCCACUUGAGAAUCAAAUGUUUACCUUCCUCUGUUCCUCCAGAUUUGGACAUUUACAGUGUUCAGCCGUUGUUGUGGCAUUCCAAUUCAAUUGGGAAACAGCUUGAUGUAGCGUCCCCAUAAGGUCCACAGUAAUUAAAUUUUUUUUUUUUUUUUUUGGUGCGGUAGUGCAAUUUCAUGGCUCACUGCAACCUCCACCUCCCAGGUUCAAGCGAUCCUCCCAUCUCAGCCUCCCUAGUAGCUGGGAUUACAGGUGCACGCCACCACACCAGGCUAAUUUUUGUAUUUUUAGUAGAGAUGGGGUUUCACCAGGUUAGCCAGGCUGGUCUUGAACUCCAGACCUCAAGGGAUCCGCCUGCCUCAGCUUUCCAAAGUGCUGGGAUUACAGGUGGAGACUGGACCUCAGAAGAGGGAGUGGGUGCCCCGAGAACUCACAGCUAGCGGACAGUGGAAAGGGCAGGAGCCGGACCAAGGUGAGGACAGUGGAACUGAAGGCCGCUGGUUACCUCUCCUGCCCUCCGCUGGCCACAGUGGAGAAGACAGCCCCUCCCUCCUGCUCUGACCUGACAGUGUUCAUCCAUCGCCCUGUAUUAGCGAAGAACAACAUCAAGCUGGCUAGCAAGGAACUGUAUACAGGGUCCAGCUGGGUAUCACACUGGAUCUCACCCAAAGCUUAGAUGUGAUCCAGCUCAGUAUCACAAAGCAGAACGAAAAGGAUGUGUUUGGGCUGAGAGGCCAUACAUUGAUGGAGUCUUGCUCUGUCGCCCAGGCUGGAGUCCAGUGGCGCGAUCUCGGUUCACUGCAAGCUCUGCCUCCCGAGUUCAUGCCAUUCUCCUGCCUCAGCCUCCUGAGUAGCUGGGACUACAGGCACCUGCCACCACGGCUGGC
RNAcentral lists this long non-coding RNA (1355 nucleotides) under Homo sapiens (human). RNAcentral's name for it is "ZNF213 antisense RNA 1". Lineage: Eukaryota; Metazoa; Chordata; Mammalia; Primates; Hominidae. The record is from RNAcentral.